RNAcentral lists this ribosomal RNA (491 nucleotides) under uncultured bacterium. Its description in RNAcentral is "bacterial SSU rRNA". It matches the Rfam family "Bacterial small subunit ribosomal RNA", at positions 903 to 1397 of the family's 1533-position model. The record is from RNAcentral.
AAAGGAAUAGACGGGGGCCCGCACAAGCAGUGGAUUAUGUGGUUUAAUUCGAAGCAACGCGAAGAACCUUACCAGGUCUUGACAUCCGACUAACGAAAUAGAGAUAUAUUAGGUGCCUUUCGGGGAAAGUUGAGACAGGUGGUGCAUGGUUGUCGUCAGCUCGUGUCGUGAGAUGUUGGGUUAAGUCCCGCAACGAGCGCAACCCUUGCCAUUAGUUGCUACGCAAGAGCACUCUAAUGGGACCGCUACCGACAAGGUGGAGGAAGGUGGGGACGACGUCAAAUCAUCAUGCCCCUUAUGACCUGGGCUACACACGUAAUACAAUGGCCGUAAACAGAGGGAAGCGAAAUCGCGAGAUGGAGCAAACCCCCAAAAACGGUCUCAGUUCGGAUCGCAGGCUGCAACCCGCCUGCGUGAAGUUGGAAUUGCUAGUAAUCGCGAAUCAGCAUGUCGCGGUGAAUACGUUCCCGGGCCUUGUACACACCGCCCGU